GAUGAACGCUGGCGGCGUGCCUAAUACAUGCAAGUCGAGCGAACGGACGAGAAGCUUGCUUCUCUGAUGUUAGCGGCGGACGGGUGAGUAACACGUGGAUAACCUACCUAUAAGACUGGGAUAACAUCGGGAAACCGUAGCUAAUACCGGAUAAUAUUUUGAACCGCAUGGUUCAAAAGUGAAAGACGGUCUUGCUGUCACUUAUAGAUGGAUCCGCGCUGCAUUAGCUAGUUGGUAAGGUAACGGCUUACCAAGGCAACGAUGCAUAGCCGACCUGAGAGGGUGAUCGGCCACACUGGAACUGAGACACGGUCCAGACUCCUACGGGAGGCAGCAGUAGGGAAUCUUCCGCAAUGGGCGAAAGCCUGACGGAGCAACGCCGCGUGAGUGAUGAAGGUCUUCGGAUCGUAAAACUCUGUUAUUAGGGAAGAACAUAUGUGUAAGUAACUGUGCACAUCUUGACGGUACCUAAUCAGAAAGCCACGGCUAACUACGUG
Molecule: ribosomal RNA, 497 nt
Filed under: uncultured bacterium
Lineage: Bacteria
Description: partial 16S ribosomal RNA
Rfam family: Bacterial small subunit ribosomal RNA
Source: RNAcentral